AAUCAACGCUGGCGGCGUGCCUCAGACAUGCAAGUCGAACGCGAAAGGCUCCUUCGGGGGCCGAGUAGAGUGGCGCACGGGUGAGUAACACGUAGGUAAUUUGCCUUUGGGUGGGGAAUAACUCAGGGAAACUUGAGCUAAUACCGCAUAAUGCAGCGGCUCGACAUCGAGACAGUUGUUAAAGCGGGGGAUCGCAAGACCUCGCGCCUGAAGAGAAGCCUGCGGCAGAUUAGCUAGUUGGUAGGGUAAUGGCCUACCAAGGCGACGAUCUGUAACCGGCCUGAGAGGGCGGUCGGUCACACUGACACUGACAUACGGGUCAGACUCCUACGGGAGGCAGCAGUCGGGAAUUUUGGGCAAUGGGCGCAAGCCUGACCCAGCAACGCCGCGUGAAGGAUGAAAUCCCUCGGGAUGU
This 415-nucleotide ribosomal RNA is filed under the name uncultured bacterium. RNAcentral describes it as "bacterial SSU rRNA". It matches the Rfam family "Bacterial small subunit ribosomal RNA", at positions 32 to 426 of the family's 1533-position model. The record is from RNAcentral.